This 208-nucleotide long non-coding RNA is filed under the name Musa acuminata (dwarf banana). RNAcentral's name for it is "long non-coding RNA (MACU_LNC002068)". Lineage: Eukaryota; Viridiplantae; Streptophyta; Magnoliopsida; Zingiberales; Musaceae. The record is from RNAcentral.
UUCUAGGUGUGUUUCAGAAUUUAAUUUUAAAUAGAAAAGUUCUCAUUAAUCUAAAAUUACUUUUAUUAAUAAACUAAUUUUGAUGAUACUCACUUGUUGUCUACGACUAGUCUCAAAAAUAUAUCUCGUACAUUACACAUGCAGAUGAAUAGGUCAAAAAUUAAAUAUAAUAUUAAAUAGAAAUAAUAGAGUUAAAUUAGAAGUAUCA